This 739-nucleotide ribosomal RNA is filed under the name Lactiplantibacillus plantarum. RNAcentral's name for it is "bacterial SSU rRNA". It matches the Rfam family "Bacterial small subunit ribosomal RNA", at positions 48 to 753 of the family's 1533-position model. Lineage: Bacteria; Bacillati; Bacillota; Bacilli; Lactobacillales; Lactobacillaceae. The record is from RNAcentral.
CUAAUACAUGCAAGUCGAACGAACUCUGGUAUUGAUUGGUGCUUGCAUCAUGAUUUACAUUUGAGUGAGUGGCGAACUGGUGAGUAACACGUGGGAAACCUGCCCAGAAGCGGGGGAUAACACCUGGAAACAGAUGCUAAUACCGCAUAACAACUUGGACCGCAUGGUCCGAGCUUGAAAGAUGGCUUCGGCUAUCACUUUUGGAUGGUCCCGCGGCGUAUUAGCUAGAUGGUGGGGUAACGGCUCACCAUGGCAAUGAUACGUAGCCGACCUGAGAGGGUAAUCGGCCACAUUGGGACUGAGACACGGCCCAAACUCCUACGGGAGGCAGCAGUAGGGAAUCUUCCACAAUGGACGAAAGUCUGAUGGAGCAACGCCGCGUGAGUGAAGAAGGGUUUCGGCUCGUAAAACUCUGUUGUUAAAGAAGAACAUAUCUGAGAGUAACUGUUCAGGUAUUGACGGUAUUUAACCAGAAAGCCACGGCUAACUACGUGCCAGCAGCCGCGGUAAUACGUAGGUGGCAAGCGUUGUCCGGAUUUAUUGGGCGUAAAGCGAGCGCAGGCGGUUUUUUAAGUCUGAUGUGAAAGCCUUCGGCUCAACCGAAGAAGUGCAUCGGAAACUGGGAAACUUGAGUGCAGAAGAGGACAGUGGAACUCCAUGUGUAGCGGUGAAAUGCGUAGAUAUAUGGAAGAACACCAGUGGCGAAGGCGGCUGUCUGGCUGUAACUGACGCUGAGGCU